Molecule: long non-coding RNA, 854 nt
Organism: Onychostoma macrolepis
Lineage: Eukaryota; Metazoa; Chordata; Actinopteri; Cypriniformes; Cyprinidae
Exons: 3
Source: RefSeq, a predicted model, not a curated record
AGAUCUUUCAUGAGGAUGAGAGGUCUUAACAUUUCGAGGUGGUUACUCAUCCCACCCAACAGGAUUCUACAUCCUGCGGUGCAUUUGUUUGCAAACUUGCAGAGAAUCUUCUUAUGGAGGAAGAAAUUACACUCGUUUCAAAUGAGGAAGGGACUGCAUCAAUGCGCAUGGAUAUUGCAGGAACGCUUUUGAGAGAAUCUGAUGACCUUUCUCAACUGUGCCAUUACUGUGGAGAACAGGACAAAGACCAAACUGACCAAUGGGUAAAAUAAGACACUGCAAAACAUAAAUGUUGCUGUUCUCUAGUAAAAUGUAACCUAUUAUAUUUGUUUGUUCCUCUUUAGAUUGAAUGUACUGAAUGUGGAAGGUGGUACCACUGGGACUGUGUGAGCAGACCCUCCACAGCUGGCAAAUACACCUGUCCUGCAUGCAUUUAAUGCAUUUGUCCUGUGUCCUCAUAUAAAAUAUAAUAAAAAUAAAUAAACUAAACUAGAAAAGCUUUUUUCACAUUUGUCUUCUAAACUCUGGAAUAGGCUUCCUGAUAAUGUUCGGGGCUCAGACAUUCUCUCAUUUUAAAUCUAGAUUAAAGAAGCAUCUAUUUAGCCAACAUUCACAUAACCGUGUACUUGAUAAAAUGCUAAUUAUCUUUUGCCUAAAAUGCUACACACUGCAGCGACGCUAACCCUUCUUCAUUGCUUUUCUGUUUCCACCUUGGAUGGGAAUCCUGAGGUACAGGCAAAUAGAGAAGAGCUAGGAACUAAAUUGCAGCCAUUCCAAUUCGGAUCCAGCUGAAGAUUUCAGAUGACCCCAGCACCUAGAACAGAUGACAACCCCUAAACUUCAUAUGACACCAA